RNAcentral lists this ribosomal RNA (497 nucleotides) under uncultured bacterium. Its description in RNAcentral is "partial 16S ribosomal RNA". It matches the Rfam family "Bacterial small subunit ribosomal RNA", at positions 28 to 507 of the family's 1533-position model. The record is from RNAcentral.
GAUGAACGCUGGCGGCGUGCCUAAUACAUGCAAGUCGAGCGAACAGACGAGGAGCUUGCUCCUUUGACGUUAGCGGCGGACGGGUGAGUAACACGUGGGUAACCUACCUAUAAGACUGGGAUAACUUCGGGAAACCGGAGCUAAUACCGGAUAAUAUUUCGAACCGCAUGGUUCGAUAGUGAAAGAUGGCUCUGCUAUCACUUAUAGAUGGACCUGCGCCGUAUUAGCUAGUUGGUAAGGUAACGGCUUACCAAGGCAACGAUACGUAGCCGACCUGAGAGGGUGAUCGGCCACACUGGAAGUGAGACACGGUCCAGACUCCUACGGGAGGCAGCAGUAGGGAAUCUUCCGCAAUGGGCGAAAGCCUGACGGAGCAACGCCGCGUGAGUGAUGAAGGUCUUCGGAGCGUAAAACUCUGUUAUUAGGGAAGAACAAACGUGUAAGUAACUGUGCACGUCUUGACGGUACCUAAUCAGAAAGCCACGGCUAACUACGUG